Molecule: ribosomal RNA, 497 nt
Filed under: uncultured bacterium
Lineage: Bacteria
Description: partial 16S ribosomal RNA
Rfam family: Bacterial small subunit ribosomal RNA
Source: RNAcentral
GAUGAACGCUGGCGGCGUGCCUAAUACAUGCAAGUCGAGCGAACGGACGCGAAGCUUGCUUCUUUGAUGUUAGCGGCGGACGGGUGAGUAACACGUGGAUAACCUACCUAUAAGACUGGGAUAACUUCGGGAAACCGGAGCUAAUACCGGAUAAUAUUUUGAACCGUAUGGUUCAAUAGUGAAAGACGGUCUUGCUGUCACUUAUAGAUGGAUCCGCGCUGCAUUAGCUAGUUGGUAAGGUCACGGCUUACCAAGGCAACGAUGCAUAGCCGACCUUAGAGGGUGAUCGGCCACACUGGAAGUGAGACGGGGACCAUGCUCCUGCGGGAGGCAGCAGUAGGGAAUCUUCCGCAAUGGGCGAAAACCUGACAGAGCAGCGCCGCGUGAGUGAUGACGGUCUUCGGAUCGUAAAGAUCUGUUAUUAGGUGAGAACAGAUGUGUAAGUAACUGUGCCCGUCUUGACGGUACCUGAUCAGAAAGCCACGGCUAACUACGUG